Molecule: ribosomal RNA, 422 nt
Filed under: uncultured prokaryote
Description: bacterial SSU rRNA
Rfam family: Bacterial small subunit ribosomal RNA
Source: RNAcentral
UAAGGAAUAUUGGUCAAUGGACGCAAGUCUGAACCAGCCAUGCCGCGUGCAGGAUGACGGCCCUAUGGGUUGUAAACUGCUUUUGUACGGGAAGAACUACAUUUACGUGUAAGUGUUUGACGGUACCGUAAGAAUAAGGAUCGGCUCACUCCGUGCCAGCAGCCGCGGUAAUACGGAGGAUCCGAGCGUUAUCCGGAUUUAUUGGGUUUAAAGGGUGCGCAGGCGGGUAUAUAAGUCAGAGGUGAAAUUCCAGGGCUCAACCUUGGGACUGCCUUUGAUACUGUAUGUCUAGAGUAUAGUUGGAGUGGGCGGAAUGUAGCAUGUAGCGGUGAAAUGCUUAGAUAUGCUACAGAACACCGAUCGUGAAGACAGCUCACUAAGCUAUAACUGACGCUCAGGCACGAAAGCAUGGGGAGCAAACA